AUUUGGACAAUGGGCGCAAGCCUGAUCCAGCCAUGCCGCGUGCAGGAUGACGGUCCUAUGGAUUGUAAACUGCUUUUGUACAGGAAGAAACCCUUUCACGUGUGAAAGAUUGACGGUACUGUAAGAAUAAGGUUCGGCUAACUCCGUGCCAGCAGCCGCGGUAAUACGGA
This 170-nucleotide ribosomal RNA is filed under the name uncultured bacterium. RNAcentral's name for it is "partial 16S ribosomal RNA". It matches the Rfam family "Bacterial small subunit ribosomal RNA", at positions 362 to 529 of the family's 1533-position model. The record is from RNAcentral.